This 2109-nucleotide long non-coding RNA is filed under the name Homo sapiens (human). Its description in RNAcentral is "long non-coding RNA NONHSAT194224.1". Lineage: Eukaryota; Metazoa; Chordata; Mammalia; Primates; Hominidae. The record is from RNAcentral.
UCUUUCAAUCUUCCUUGGCCAGACAGAUCAUGUACAGAGCGGCAUGUGAGCAGCAGUGACAGAGUGGGCAAGCCUUACCGUGGCGUAAAGCCUGUUUUCAGCAUUGGGGAUGAAGAAGAAUACGACACAGAUGAAAUUGACAGUUCUUCAAUGUCAGAUGAUGAUAGAAAAGAGGUUGUAAACAUUCAGACUUGGAUAAACAAACCAGAUGUCAAACAUCAUUUUCCUUGUAAAGAAGUAAAAGAAAGUGGACACAUGUUUCCCAGUCAUCUGUUGGUUACUGCAACACAUAUGUACUGUUUAAGGGAGAUUGUUUCACGGAAAGGAUUGGCUUAUAUACAGUCUCGACAAGCGCUGAAUUCUGUAGUUAAAAUUACAUCCAAAAAAAAACAUCCUGAACUCAUUACCUUCAAGUAUGGAAAUAGCAGUGCUUCAGGAAUAGAAAUCUUGGCAAUCGAAAGGUAUUUGAUUCCAAAUGCAGGGGAUGCAACUAAAGCCAUAAAACAGCAGAUCAUGAAAGUUUUGGAUGCUUUGGAAAGUUAAUAUAAAAGAAAAUUAUAUAAAAAGAAAUUAAGACAACCAAGAGAAACAUGGACAUAUACCUCCUGACUGAAUACUAACUGGAGACCUUUCAUUUGCUCAUGGGGCUGCUUAAAUAGCAGGUCUAAGAAAGUGUAAAUUAUUAUAAUCAAUCUGUGGACAGUAAACUUUUUAAAAAUUUUUCUUCUGCAUUUUGGUUUUAUAAAAUGAUGUAUUAUAAAGGUCAGUUAUUAAAUUACUUUGAAGUAACUGACCCUGUGCCCUUAUGGACUAAGUAAGGGUACAGAAUGCAGUUCUGUUUUGAAGAGCUGUUUUAAGGGAACAUGCAUCACUUUCGGGAUCAAAAACAACUGUACACAUACAUAUCUGCAGUGUCUUCACUGAAAAUUAGAGAUAGAAUUAGUUGAAGAGACUUCCUUAAUUGCUACAUUGUUUUACUCACUGAGCAAUAUCAGAAACUAAAACAUAGAUUAAUAAUUCACUCACUGUUUCUAUUCUUCUUAAAAAGAGUGAAAUCUUUUUAAUGGAAUGGUUGAAGAUUCCUGCCAACUCAAAAUACAGUACAGCUAGUAAAAUGUUGAAACAUCAGUUUCUAAAUCACCUUUGCUCCAUUAGCUAAUUUUUUGGACACUAAAUGCUUCAAAGAUAAGAAACUUCAUCCUAAUGAUUUCUAAAGAGCAGUUAAAAGCAUUAAAAUAAGUAGGUAGGCUGUUAAGAUUAAAAUUAACAUUUUGGGGACAGAAUUGUGUCUGUAAAAAUGUCAUUGGUUUUAUUACAAGCGGAUUAUUUUAUUCAUAUUUUAAAACAAAUGUUUAAGCCACAUUGAUUUAUCCUCAUUGAGGAUUAUGGUCUGUGACCACAGUAAUAUCCACUUAUAUAAAUGCCAAAUAAUCAGAGAGCUUAUAAAGUACAAUUGUUUUUGUCAUCAUUUUCUGAAUUUCUUUCUCUUCUUUUGGUUUUGUCCUCUCAUUGAAGUUCCAGUGGUUUGAAAUUAGUUUUGGACACAUUGUCUUAAUGUACUGAAAAUUGCUCUGCUGUAUUUUGCAGCGUUCUUCAUUUAAUUUAUAAUGGUCCAUAUUAGACACAUUUGGUAAGAGAAGUCCAGGAACACAUUUAGGGCCAUGGAAUAGUAUUUUGUAAAAUCCAUUUGGGAAGUUGCAAUACCCACAAUCUGACAUGUCCUAAAAUGUAAGGGAUUAUCUCUAAGGGGUUGAUGGGAGAAAUAUUUAGAUGUACCCUGUUAACAGCCAGUCAUUUUGAUUUACUUAUGGAAAUCAAGUGAAUAAAAGGCAACAUAAUUUGGGAAAUUUUAUUCUAAUAUCUAAUAAAAACAGUUUGAGUGGUUGAAGACAUCUGCAUGAAAUUGCACCUAGGUGCAUUACUUGAUAUAACUCUCCCCUAAAACUGUUGUAAUUGCAUUUUUUCCCUUUUCUUGGCACCCCUUUAGAAAUGUACUGAAGUCUCAUUUUUCACCCAUUUCAGCCAUGGGACAUUUUUCAUAAUAUUAAUGUAAAGAUGUUUGUGUUACUGUUUAUAAAUUACAAUUGUAAAUAAAUUACUAGUUUGCCC